Molecule: long non-coding RNA, 369 nt
Organism: Oncorhynchus tshawytscha (Chinook salmon)
Lineage: Eukaryota; Metazoa; Chordata; Actinopteri; Salmoniformes; Salmonidae
Source: Ensembl
GUGGUGAGGUAGAACUGUGUCAGGUAGAACUGUGUCAGGUAGAAGAGGUGAUAGGUAGAACUGUGUCAGGUAGAAGAGGUGAUAGGUAGAACUGUGUCAGGUAGAAGAGGUGAUAGGUAGAACUGUGUCAUGUAGAAGAGGUGAUAGGUAGAACUGUGUCAGGUAGAAGAGGUGAUAGGUGUGGUACCAGAUGGGACAGGACACAUCAACUUGAUAGACGGCAAUAAGAAUUUCACAGGACAUAAAACACAAUGUCACUAACCAUAAAGUGAAUGUCAUAACCUUGACUUGCCCAUUACAUACUGUCUCUACACUCUCCAGUACUCAUAGUGCCAUAAAAAACAAGCCUGGCAAUACAACGUUGUAGAG